RNAcentral lists this ribosomal RNA (379 nucleotides) under uncultured cyanobacterium. Its description in RNAcentral is "bacterial SSU rRNA". It matches the Rfam family "Bacterial small subunit ribosomal RNA", at positions 376 to 770 of the family's 1533-position model. The record is from RNAcentral. Lineage: Bacteria; Bacillati; Cyanobacteriota.
GGCAACCCUGACGGAGCAACGCCGCGUGGGGGAGGAAUGUCUGUGGAUUGUAAACCCCUUUUCUCAGGGAAGAAGAUCUGACGGUACCUGAGGAAUCAGCAUCGGCUAACUCCGUGCCAGCAGCCGCGGUAAGACGGAGGAUGCAAGCGUUAUCCGGAAUUAUUGGGCGUAAAGCGUCCGCAGGUGGCGAUUCAAGUCUGCUGUCAAAGCACGGGGCUUAACUCCGUUAAGGCAGUGGAAACUGAAUGGCUAGAGUGCCGUAGGGGUAGAGGGAAUUCCCGGUGUAGCGGUGAAAUGCGUAGAGAUCGGGAAGAACAUCGGUGGCGAAAGCGCUCUACUGGACGGCAACUGACACUCAGGGACGAAAGCUAGGGGAGCG